AGUCACAUAAAUUCUGAUUCAUGGCUGGCACAUGUCUCUUUAAAAUUUUCAGUUCUGGGGUUCCGCGUGUUAUUUUUAAAAACAUAACUGAUGUGAGGGCAGGUGCCACUCGGGAGAUUGAAGCAAGAGGAUCACAAGUUCAAGGAAAUGGAGAAGCCUGUUCUAAGUUCACUUGAAGCCAAAUUACAAAGGAGCAGACGGGAUCCCAGAAACAAAGAUGGCACCAG
Molecule: long non-coding RNA, 227 nt
Filed under: Mus spicilegus (steppe mouse)
Lineage: Eukaryota; Metazoa; Chordata; Mammalia; Rodentia; Muridae
Description: lncRNA (ENSMSIG00000019186.1)
Source: RNAcentral